Molecule: ribosomal RNA, 253 nt
Filed under: uncultured bacterium
Lineage: Bacteria
Description: partial 16S ribosomal RNA
Rfam family: Bacterial small subunit ribosomal RNA
Source: RNAcentral
UACAGGGGGGCAAGCGUUGUUCGGAAUACUGGGCGUAAAGGGUCUGUAGGUGGCCAACUAAGUCAGGACGUGAAAUCCCUCAGCUUAACUGGGGAACUGCGUCUGAUACUGGAUGGCUUGAGUGUGGGAGAGGAAUGGCGGAAUUCCAGGUGUAGCGGUGAAAUGCGUAGAUAUCUGGAGAACACCGGUGGCGAAGGCGAGUCCCUGGAAAACACCUGACACUGAGGCACGAAAGCGUGGGUAGCAAACAGGG